RNAcentral lists this ribosomal RNA (349 nucleotides) under uncultured bacterium. Its description in RNAcentral is "bacterial SSU rRNA". It matches the Rfam family "Bacterial small subunit ribosomal RNA", at positions 28 to 355 of the family's 1533-position model. The record is from RNAcentral.
GACGAACGCUGGCGGCGUGCUUAACACAUGCAAGUCGAACGAGAAGAGAUGAGAAGCUUGCUUCUUAUUGAUUCGAGUGGCAAACGGGGUGAGUAACGCGUAAGCAACCUGCCCUUCAGAUGGGGACAACAGCUGGAAACGGCUGCUAAUACCGAAUACGUUCUUUUUGUCGCAUGGCAGAGGGAAGAAAGGGAGGCUCUUCGGAGCUUUCGCUGAAGGAGGGGCUUGCGUCUGAUUAGCUAGUUGGAGGGGUAACGGCCACCAAGGCGACGAUCAGUAGCCGGUCUGAGAGGAUGAACGGCCACAUUGGGACUGAGACACGGCCCAGACUCCUACGGGAGGCAGCAGU